This 391-nucleotide long non-coding RNA is filed under the name Carica papaya (papaya). RNAcentral describes it as "long non-coding RNA (CPAP_LNC014849)". Lineage: Eukaryota; Viridiplantae; Streptophyta; Magnoliopsida; Brassicales; Caricaceae. The record is from RNAcentral.
AAGCCUUCACAACUCUUGGGGUGGUUCCCGAACAAAAGAUUGUAUUGUCACUUAUAUGAUCGUGGGUGAGACAAGUCGCUGGUGGCAGUUGAAGUAGGCCACCCUGCCCAUUCCAGUCACUUGGGAACAGUUCCUGAUAGCCUUCAAUGCAGAGUACCUUCAAGAGUAUCUUCGACAUUUGAAGGAAAUGAAGUUUGCACACCUGGUCUAAGGUGAUAUGAUAGUGUCAGAGCAUGCCUAAAGGUUCCUAGAGUUGGGUUGAUAUUUUUCUGAGAAUAUGAUGGAUGAAGGUAGAAAGGCAAUGAAGUUUGAGUGGGGCCUCUGUCCUAAGUCAGGAAAUAGUUGUAUGUGUUUGAGCUCAGCACCUACUCGAUAGUUCUGGCCAAGACAC